GGUAGCUCUUGAAAUCCCGGACGAGCCCCCAAAUGUUAGGGUCCGCGAUUUUCAAGAUACUGUUGAAAUGAGGAAGGGCGCGAUAAAGCCAAGCCCCAGGAAAC
This 104-nucleotide microRNA precursor is filed under the name Procavia capensis (Cape rock hyrax). RNAcentral's name for it is "miRNA (ENSPCAG00000020516.1)". Lineage: Eukaryota; Metazoa; Chordata; Mammalia; Hyracoidea; Procaviidae. The record is from RNAcentral.